AGUGAACGCUGGCGGUAGGCCUAACACAUGCAAGUCGAACGGCAGCACAGUAAGAGCUUGCUCUUACGGGUGGCGAGUGGCGGACGGGUGAGGAAUACAUCGGAAUCUACUUUUUCGUGGGGGAUAACGUAGGGAAACUUACGCUAAUACCGCAUACGACCUACGGGUGAAAGCAGGGGAUCUUCGGACCUUGCGCGAUUGAAUGAGCCGAUGUCGGAUUAGCUAGUUGGCGGGGUAAAGGCCCACCAAGGCGACGAUCCGUAGCUGGUCUGAGAGGAUGAUCAGCCACACUGGAACUGAGACACGGUCCAGACUCCUACGGGAGGCAGCAGUGGGGAAUUUUGGACAAUGGGCGCAAGCCUGAUCCAGCCAUACCGCGUGGGUGAAGAAGGCCUUCGGGUUGUAAAGCCCUUUUGCUGGGAAAGAAAAGCAGCAGGUUAAUACCCCGCUGUUCUGACGGUACCCAAAGAAUAAGCACCGGCUAACUUCGUG
This 492-nucleotide ribosomal RNA is filed under the name uncultured bacterium. RNAcentral's name for it is "partial 16S ribosomal RNA". It matches the Rfam family "Bacterial small subunit ribosomal RNA", at positions 29 to 507 of the family's 1533-position model. The record is from RNAcentral.